Molecule: non-coding RNA, 1214 nt
Organism: Meleagris gallopavo (turkey)
Lineage: Eukaryota; Metazoa; Chordata; Aves; Galliformes; Phasianidae
Source: RefSeq, a predicted model, not a curated record
GGUCCCCCACGGUUCAUUUGAGGGCCAGCUACUGAAGGGUGAGCAUCACUUGGGCUGCUUGCCGUGUGGCCAGAGAUCCACAUCACCAGUUGGGUAUUGACUUGAUACAAUCUACUCAUCACUGGAAGGCAUCUCUUUAACUGGAGAAAGCAUUAUGUGAAAAUGGUGAAAUGGAGCUACGUGGAGUGAUCUGGACAGAGCUGUGGUCUCCGGCUGGCUGGGGCAGCAGAGCUGGUGAUGAGGAGAUGUGCAGAGAGAGCAAGCUUCUUAUUUGUCAAGGACAUUUGUACUUGUAGUGCCAGUAUUGUUGCAAGGCUGUGCACAUGCCUAAUAUUCUGCAUGGUGAGUGGCUCAUCAGGCUGUCAUUUCCAGACAGGUGUCUGGUUGUACUCUCAAAAAAUUCUGUAAUGGUUGGAAAGGCUGAUGAAGCUUCUUACAAGUUUUCUUCAUUUAUCAUGUAGCCUAGCCACUAUACUUUGCAUUGUGUGCUGUGCUUGAAGAUGUGUGAAACCUUAAAGAAAUUAGAACAAAAAUCACUUGAGUGCUUUGCUAUUCAAGCUCUUGAAAGUGGAUCUUUUCAAGGACCGUUACUUGAGAUUGUGAGAUCUCUCUGCUGUUUGACUCACCUUGUUCCUUUCUACUCUUGCCUCUUUUGUAUUUCUUUGUCUGAAUAUAUAAGCAACAAGGUUGUUGGCACUCCUCUGGGUUGACAGUGAAGCUGUUGACAAAAGAAUAAGGACUUGAUCUCUUCUGAGUUAUUGUUCCAGUCCUCAUGUGCAAGCUGCUGAGGAUAACCAUUGCAUCCCAGAGCCAAUUAGUACUUCUAUUUUUAACGCUUCUUUUCAAGCAGUAGAAGCUGUUGAUGUUUUAAGUGGUGUCAUUUUUUCAAGUGGGGGAGACUCUCGCCUGUGCAAGUACUUCCUAAGAGCUAGAUACUGAACAGUGCUGGGCAGUUAGUGCUCCAUACUGAAAUAUGUAAAAGUAGUUGUACAGAUUUGUAAAACUCACUGAAGUAGCGUAACUGAAAAAGAUUUACACCUUACAAGUAAAACAGCACUAUCUAAAGAGGCUGAUGUAAUAUGUAGCCACUCUCCUUCCAGCUUCAGCUGCUAGUUUUUGCUGGCAUGAUGUGUUCUAUGUAGUGCGCUCUCUCAACAUUUGCACAGGGAAUAGGAGAAAGGUUUGCUGAAUGAAAAUGAUUAAUUUAAAGGUCC